AACGAACGCUGGCGGCAUGCCUAACACAUGCAAGUCGAACGAGACCUUCGGGUCUAGGGGCGCACGGGGGCGUAACGCGUGGGAACCUGCCCUUAGGUUCGGAAUAACUCCCCGAAAGGGGUGCUAAUACCGGAUAAUGUCUUCGGACCAAAGAUUUAUCGCCUUUGGAUGGGCCCGCGUUGGAUUAGCUAGUUGGUAGGGUAAAAGCCUACCAAGGCGACGAUCCAUAGCUGGUCUGAGAGGAUGAUCAGCCACACUGGGACUGAGACACGGCCCAGACUCCUACGGGAGGCAGCAGUGGGGAAUAUUGGACAAUGGGCGAAAGCCUGAUACAGCAAUGCCGCGUGAGUGAUGAAGGCCGUAGGGUUGUAAAGCUCUUUUACCCGGGAUGAUAAUGACAGUACCGGGAGAAUAAGCUCCGGCUAACUCCGUG
This 433-nucleotide ribosomal RNA is filed under the name uncultured bacterium. RNAcentral's name for it is "partial 16S ribosomal RNA". It matches the Rfam family "Bacterial small subunit ribosomal RNA", at positions 29 to 507 of the family's 1533-position model. The record is from RNAcentral.